CAGUCGCCGCGGGAAUACGAGGGGGGCAAGCGUUGUUCGGAAUUAUUGGGCGUAAAGCGAGCGCAGGCGGUUAGAUAAGUCUGAAGUUAAAGGCUGUGGCUUAACCAUAGUACGCUUUGGAAACUGUUUAACUUGAGUGCAAGAGGGGAGAGUGGAAUUCCAUGUGUAGCGGUGAAAUGCGUAGAUAUAUGGAGGAACACCGGUGGCGAAAGCGGCUCUCUGGCUUGUAACUGUCGCUGAGGCUCGAAAGCGUGGGGAGCAAACAGGAUUAGAUACCCGCGUAGUCCCUGUCUCUUAUACA
Molecule: ribosomal RNA, 301 nt
Filed under: uncultured bacterium
Lineage: Bacteria
Description: partial 16S ribosomal RNA
Rfam family: Bacterial small subunit ribosomal RNA
Source: RNAcentral